RNAcentral lists this ribosomal RNA (397 nucleotides) under uncultured bacterium. Its description in RNAcentral is "bacterial SSU rRNA". It matches the Rfam family "Bacterial small subunit ribosomal RNA", at positions 358 to 772 of the family's 1533-position model. The record is from RNAcentral.
GGAAUAUUGGACAAUGGGCGAAAGCCUGAUCCAGCCAUGCCGCGUGAGUGAAGAAGGCCUUAGGGUUGUAAAGCUCUUUCGGCGGGGAAGAUGAUGACGGUACCCGCAGAAGAAGCCCCGGCUAACUCCGUGCCAGCAGCCGCGGUAAUACGGAGGGGGCUAGCGUUGCCCGGAAUUCCUGGGCGUAAAGGGCGCGUAGGCGGACUAGCAAGUCAGGCGUGAAAGCCCCGGGCUCAACCUGGGAACAGCGCUUGAGACUGCUAGUCUUGAGUUCGGGAGAGGGUAGUGGAAUUCCCAGUGUAGAGGUGAAAUUCGUAGAUAUUGGGAAGAACACCAGUGGCGAAGGCGGCUACCUGGACCGAUACUGACGCUGAGGCGCGAAAGCGUGGGGAGCAAA